UACAGAGGUCUCAAGCGUUGUUCGGAUUCAUUGGGCGUAAAGGGUGCGUAGGUGGCGCUGUAAGUCGGGUGUGAAAUUUCGGAGCUUAACUCCGAAACUGCAUUCGAUACUGCGGUGCUUGAGGACUGGAGAGGAGACUGGAAUUCAUGGUGUAGCAGUGAAAUGCGCAGAUAUCAGGAGGAACACCGGUGGCGAAGGCGGGUCUCUGGGCCGAUACUGACGCUGAGGAGCGAAAGCGUGGGGAGCGAACAGG
RNAcentral lists this ribosomal RNA (253 nucleotides) under uncultured bacterium. RNAcentral's name for it is "partial 16S ribosomal RNA". It matches the Rfam family "Bacterial small subunit ribosomal RNA", at positions 524 to 776 of the family's 1533-position model. The record is from RNAcentral.